GAGAGGAGGUGGUGUUCCAGCUGUUCCUGCUCUUGCUUCUGGUGGAGGUGCCGUCUGCCGCCUCUUCUGCGCAGCAUACGGCGAGCCCCGGGUCGCCCACCCCCACUGUGCAUACCACGUGCCUGUUUGCGUCCAGCUUCUAGCCCCUUUGUGAGCGGGUGAACCUACACACCCGCACCCGGCGCCCCCUCCGCCCAUGCCCCCCUGCAGGCCUGCCACGGCUCGUCCCCUUGUGUUCUGGUUCCGCAGCAGGGCCUUGGACGCCUGGAACCUCAGCCAAGCAGAGCCCCCCCACGCAGAGGGGAAGCGCCCCUCCCAGACCUGCUGGCCGAGAGCCCUGGACACGUGCCCUGCCUGAGCGCCACGCUGAGCAGAAGGCAGCGGCCAGCCCCUCCUCAAGACCCCCAUGGACCCCAGAUCCAAGAUCUCUACCUUGGACUUCCUGCUGCACAAAGGAGAGUCGCUGACUCACAGAGUUCCUGUGACCCCUGCCAACCGCCAUGCAACCUCUCAAUGGGCUCUCAGUCCAGGCAGGACCACCAGCCUCUGCAGGACCACCAGUCCAGGCAGGGCCACCAGCUGGUGUCCUUGAUGCACAAAAGUUUUAAAUUUUGAUGAAGUACAAUCUUUGCAUUUUUAACUUUUGUUCCUUGUGCUUUUGGUGUCCAAGAAUCCAUUACCAAGUUGAGCCCUACAUUUCUUAACAGCAAGUGUGCCCUCGUCUCAAUGUCCCCACCUCUCAAGGGUCUGAUGCUGCACCUCCAUGUCCACAUGCCCAGCCAUGUGGUGGCAUCCACACUGACACCCAGGGAUUGUGCUGCAUUCUUUCCACCCGGUUCCGCUCACAGGACUGCAGUGCGCUCCGCCCUCUGCAGGCCCGCGGCAGCCCUGCCAGCUGUGGGUGCACUGCCCCAGGACAGCUCCAGGCUGGGGGAGGGGCCUUGAAGGACCCCAAGGUCUGUGCUGCCUCUGCUCUGCCCCCUUUGGACCUGCAGGCGCAAGUCACGUUGGAUGCUGUGUCUCCCUCCCAUCAGGAAAAGGGCUUUAUGGACGGAAGUCAGCUGUGAGCAAAGGCGUGCUCACUCCUCCUCAGAGCAGGGGCCGUGGGAGACUCCCUCUGUCAAUUCAGCUCUUUCUGCUUUGUUUUCACGAUGUUUUCUACAAAAGAAUUUAAAAUGAUUAUUAGUGCUCUCCAGGGAUUUUCUCCAUAAAAUUCUGCCUGUGAGCUUAAGGGAAUAAAACAAACCUAUCGGAGUGCAUUGGCGAUGUAGCGUGAAAAUACCGUCAGCAUCCAAGGAGCCGCAGUGAGAAAUGUGGAAAAUCUAAAAAGAAUAAAUAUCCUUAGAAAUCAACAAGAUGACUGAUUGCAGAUGAGAGUAAACCUAGCCUUAUUGUAUUAAAAGUUGUUGGGAGGUCCCACUGUGGCUCGGGGUUAAAGACCCAACAUUGUCUCUGUGAGGACACAGGUUCAAUUCCUGGCCUCAAUCAGUGGAAUAAGCAUCCGGCAUUGCUGUGGCUGUGGUGUAGGCAGCAGCUGCAGCUCCGAUUCAACCCCAGCCUGGGAACCUCCAUGUGCCACAGGUGUGGCUCUGAAAGACCAACAAACAAAAGUCAUUAAAACCUAACGCCCUGAAAGAAGCAAGCAGAAUAUUAUUCUUCUAAACUCGUGGGACGGGGCCCGGCGAUGGCAUCACAGCCGAUCAGAGGAAAGUGGGUCUGAGCCUCUGUAUGUCCUUGGAAGCCACGUGGCCUUGGGGGGGUGGGCCUCUGGGCCACUGCCUGGCCUGUCUUAGGGAGUCGCUGGACUUGCCACAACACCACAGUUGUCUUGGCUGCUGCACCACCUCGUCUGAGAGCUAAGGUCAUGGGGAUGAAGCAGAUUCUAGGAAGUUACGUCUUUUCCCGGAGAGAAGGGACCACAGCUGCUGUGACUUCCGCGGAGGCUGGGGGAGGGGCGGCGCAGGUGGGACUUCGGUGAGCACAGAAUGCUGCAGGUGGCCUGGUGACCGUGCCCGCGAGGAGAUGGGCGGGCCAGGUCCCCGGCCAGAGAGACCCGGAAACCCUCCCGGACACAGGCUUUUGCCAAGUGCAGGCACAGGUCCCGAAGCUGGGGACGGCGGAGGGGGUGAUGGACAGCCUGCGAAUGGGUGAGCUGGCGCCAGGCGGAAGAAAGCCUGCAGGUCCUUCUGUGAAUGCGUGUUCUCCCAGCCAAAUAUUGACAGCUUGUGGUUGCAACAGAACCAGACCCAGCUCGGCUGCGGAUUGGCUGGCUCACCCACCACAGAGCAGCAUGACCCAGGAAGGAGCCUGCCCUUUCUUAUCAUCAGAUACACGAAACCUAAAAGGUGCCGUCUGGACCUUUUUCAGUGGCAAGUGCUAUUAAAUAGAGUCAUGGUGUUAUGAGCCUCCUGUCACCAGCAACCAUCUCCAGAGAGCCUUCACCUGGUCAGUCUGGGACUCUGUCCCCAUUAAACAGUGACCGCCCCUCCCCCAGCCCCUGGCACCCACCACUCUGCUCUCUAUCCCUACGCUAGGGGCCUCGAGUAAGUGGAAUCCUGCAGGAUUCGUCCUUCUGUGACUGGCUCAUCUCCCUGAGCCGAAUGCCCUCCAGGUUCAUCCGUGCUGUGUCCUGGGUCAGAAUCGCCUUCCUGCUCAGCCUUAGCAAUAUUCCGCUGUAUGGAUGGACCACAGCUUCCUUCUCCGUUCAUUUGCCAGUGGACACUUGCGUUGCUUCCGUGCUUUGUCUGCUGUGAGCAUAGGUGGGCAAGUACCGUUCUGAGACCCCGUUUUCCAUCUUCUUAUAGGAGAAUAUACCCAGAAGUGGAAUUGCAGGGUUAUCUAGUAGUUCAACGUGUAGAUUUUUGAGGCGCCUCCAUCCUGUUCUCCACAGUGGCUGCACCAUUGACCUUCCCCCCAGCAGUGCACACGGGUCCAAUGUCCCCACGUGCCUGGUGGCAACUGCCCACUUUCUGGGCUGGGGGAGAGUAGUCAUCCGAGUGGGUGUGAGCAGCGUCUUCACUGUGACUCUGGCUGUUCUUCUGUCUUUCUCAGGGAAACGUCUACUCAAGUGCUUCCCAUUUUUGAAUUAGGCUAUUUGGUUUUGUGGUGGAGGAGUCCUCUGCGUGUUCUGGGUAUUGAUCCCUUACCAGAUACAGGAUAUGCAACUCCUUCCCUGGUGCGCUGCUUCUUAUCCUGUCAAUAGUGUGUUUGUGUGUGUGUGUGUGUGUUCUUUUUAAAAGAUUUUUAUUUUUUCGGUUAUAGCUGGUUUACAGGGUUCUUUCAAUUGUCUACUAUACAGCAAAGUGACCCAGUCACAUACACACGUAGUCAUUCUUUUUCUCACAUUAUCCUCCCUCGCGCUCCAUCGCAAGUGACUGGGUAGAGUGCCAGGGCUCCACAGCAGGAUGUCGUUGCUUGUCCCUUCCAAAGGCAACAGUUGGCAUCCAUUAACCCCAGGUUCCCAGUCCAUCCAACUCCUCCCUCUCUGCCCUGGCAACCCCAAGUCUGUUCUCUAAGUCCAUGAUUUUCUUUUCUGUGGAAACAUUUAUUGAUGCCACAUAUUAUAUUCCAGAUAUAAGUGAUACCAUAUGGUAUUUGUCUUUCUCUUUCUGACUUACUUCACUUAGUGUGGGAGUCUCUGGUUCCAUCCAUGUUGUUGCAAAUGGCAUUCUUUUGUUCUUUUCUUACGGCCGAGUAGUAUUCCAUCGUGUAUAUACACCACAUUUUAAUCCAUUCAUCUGUCGAUGGACAUUUGGGUUGUUUCCAUUGUUUCCGUGUCUUGGCUAUUGCGAGCUGCAGUGAACAUGCAGGUGCAUGUGUCUUUCUCAAGGAAAGUUUUGUCUGGAUAUAAAGAGUGGGAUGGCUGGGACACAUAGUAGGUCCAUUUUUAGUUUUCUGAGGAACCUCCAUACUGUUUUCCAUAGUGCUUGUACCAGCUUACAUUCCCACCAGCAGUGUCAGAGGGGUUCCUUUUCUCCACACCCUCUCCAGCAUGUGUUAUAUCUGGACUUAUUAAUGAUGGCCAUUCUGACCGCUGUGACGUGGUACCUCAUGGUAGUUUUGAUUCAUAGUGUCUUUUGGUGCACAUUUAAAAAAUGUCAUGAAGUCCAAUUUGCCUCAUGUUUCUUUGGCUCCCUGCGCCUUUGGCCUCAUGUCGUGAUGAAUACGGUCGAGAUUCAGCAGGUGGGAAACGUCAGCCAAGGGGUGACGGCUAUGAAGAAGGGCCAAGUGGAAAUUCUAGAAAUAAAAAAUAUGUCUGAAACGAAUUAAUUGGACGAGCAUAACACCAGAAGAAAGAAUCUGUGACGUUGAAACAGGAAAAUAUAAAUGACCCAAAACCGAAACACAGUGAGGAAAAAUGCAGUGAGUUUGGGAAAAGACACCUGGGAUUUGUGGGACGAGGUCAAUGGGUCCAUUGAGUGUGUGACUCUCAGAAGCCGAGCAAAGAGGGAAUAAAAUAAUACCUGAAGGGAUGCGUGGUCAAGGAUGUCCCCAGGCUGAUGAAAAACUCCCACCCACAAUCCUUGGAGGCUCCCUGAAUCCCAAGUAAGACGGAUACAAAGAUAACCUCGCCGUGGACAGCAGAGCAAACCCGCUGACAAGCCAAACAGAAAAAUCAAAGCACAAGAGCGGCUACAGAAAUUGGGAUCAAGAGAAAGAAUUCUCAGACACACUAGAGACCAGAUGGCAAAACCCAGCCUCUUCAGAGUGAGGAAAGAAAGAACGCGUCCACCGGGAAUCUUACGUCCGGCACAAACACCCUUCAAUAAGGAGCUGAAGAAAGACGCAUUCAGCCAAGAGUCAACCCGCAAGAAAUGCCAUGAGGAGCUCUUCAGAAAGAGGCGCUCAGGGGGGCGGCCGAGGUGUGGGUGUCAGGCUGACACCGUUCCAGGCGAAUGGAGAGACCCAACCCAACAGCUUGAAACAAAGGUGAGAAGAACCGUGUCCUGUUGGGUUUAGAGCAUAAUAGAAGCAAAAAAAAAAAGAAAAAAGGAAAAGGAAAAAAGAAAGAUGACAGGAGCACAAGGAGCAGGCAGAGGUUCAAGGCAACUUCCUCCGUAAAGUCUUAUAGUGACAAAGCGUGAGAAGGGACCGAAGCGCUGAAGGUGUGCGUGCUGAACCCCAAACCCCACCACCCCGCUCCAGCCCCUUCCCUGGGUCCUAUUUCAUCUUGGGAAGUUUGAGCUCUCAGUGGGGAAGUCACACGGCUGAUGUGGUGGCUUUUGUUCAUUUGUUUGUUUUUGGCUUUUUAGGGCCACACCUGUGGCAUGUGGAGGUCCGCAGGCUAGGGGUGGAAUUGGAUGUGUAGCUGCCAGCCUACACCACAGCCUCAGCAACACGGGAUCUGAGCCGCGUCUGCAACCUAUACCACAGCUCAUGGCAACACCUGAUCCUUAACCCACUGAGCGAGGCUGGGAUUGAACCUGUGUCCUCAUGGACACUAGUCAGAUUCGUUUCUGCUGAGCCACAAUGGGAACUCUCAAUAAUUUUUUAAAAAUUUUUAUGGGUGCACCUGCAGCGUAUGAAAGUUCCCAGGCUAGGGGUCGAAUCCCAGCUGCAGCUGCCAGCCUAGCUGAUCCGAACUGUAUCUGUGGUGACCUCUGCCACAGCCACGACAACGCUGGAUCCCUAAACUACCGAGAGACGCUGGGGAUAGAACCCACAUCCUCACAGAGGAUGUUCUUAACCCACUGCACCAGGACAGGAACUGCCCCAGAGCAUGUGUUUUUGUUAAAGAAUAGUUUUGUGGAGUUCCUGUUGUGGCUCAGUGGUAACGAACCCGGCGGGCAACCAUGGGGACGUGGGUUCCAUCCCUGGCCUCAAUCAGUAGGUCAAGGAUCCAGUGUUGCCAUGAGCUGUGGUGUAGGUUGAAGACAUGGCUCGGAUCUGGCUUUGCUGUGGCUGUGCUGUAAGCUGGCAGCUGCAGCUCCAAUUCGACCCCUAGCCUGGGAACCUCCAUAUGC
This 5963-nucleotide long non-coding RNA is filed under the name Sus scrofa (pig). RNAcentral describes it as "lncRNA (ENSSSCG00000057151.1)". The record is from RNAcentral. Lineage: Eukaryota; Metazoa; Chordata; Mammalia; Artiodactyla; Suidae.